This 263-nucleotide ribosomal RNA is filed under the name uncultured bacterium. RNAcentral describes it as "partial 16S ribosomal RNA". It matches the Rfam family "Archaeal small subunit ribosomal RNA", at positions 474 to 735 of the family's 1478-position model. The record is from RNAcentral.
UACCCGCUCCCCCGAGUGGUGGGGACGUAUUACUGGGCCGUAAAGACGCCCGUAGCCGGCUCGGCGUGUCUCUCGUUAAAUCCACAGGCCUAACCUGUGGGCUGCGGGAGAUACUGCCGGGCCUGGGGUGGGAGAGGCGCCCGGUAUUCCCGGGGUAGGGUAAAAUCCUCUGAUCCCGGGAGGACCAUCAGUGGCGAAGGCGGGGCGCCAGAACACGCCCGACGGUGAGGGGCGAAAGCUGGGGGAGCAAACGGGAUUAGAAA